AGGGGAGUAGUUCAGUUGGUAGAGCAACGGUCUCCAAAACCGUAAGUUGCAGGUUCGAGCCCUGUCUCCCCUGCCA
RNAcentral lists this transfer RNA (76 nucleotides) under Clostridia bacterium. RNAcentral describes it as "tRNA-Trp". It matches the Rfam family "tRNA". From Rfam's summary of the family: Transfer RNA (tRNA) molecules are approximately 80 nucleotides in length. Their secondary structure includes four short double-helical elements and three loops (D, anti-codon, and T loops). Further hydrogen bonds mediate the characteristic L-shaped molecular structure. tRNAs have two regions of fundamental functional importance: the anti-codon, which is responsible for specific mRNA codon recognition, and the 3' end, to which the tRNAs corresponding amino acid is attached (by aminoacyl-tRNA synthetases). tRNAs cope with the degeneracy of the genetic code in two manners: having more than one tRNA (with a specific anti-codon) for a particular amino acid; and 'wobble' base-pairing, i.e. permitting non-standard base-pairing at the 3rd anti-codon position. Lineage: Bacteria; Bacillati; Bacillota; Clostridia. The record is from RNAcentral.